Molecule: long non-coding RNA, 18577 nt
Organism: Mustela lutreola (European mink)
Lineage: Eukaryota; Metazoa; Chordata; Mammalia; Carnivora; Mustelidae
Exons: 4
Source: RefSeq, a predicted model, not a curated record
UCCAGCCCCCGCGCGCCGGGGCGGGGCCGGUGAGCCACGGGGCAGUUAGUGUGUGCGCCGCUCUGCGGGCCGGCAGCCCCGGGAGCUGGAAAGCAAUGGGUCCCCGCAGGCCCCGCCCCGCCCCGCCGCGCAGCUGGGAAGCCCGCAGGUGGCGGCGGCGCCGGGGCUGCUAAGCCGGGCUCGCCCAGUGGUGCGCCCCCUUCCCACGCUCUUUCGGAGCGAACCACACCUUCCUGCUCCCUGUACCUCCCCAGCCUCUGCCGAAAGCCUCAAGAACCGGGCCGCGCACUCCGCUUUCCACAACGGUGUGCUGCUGCGAGUCCGAGUGCGAGCCAGAAACCACUGGGAGGCAAGCCCCACGUUUCACAGGUAAAAAGAAGCCAAGACCCAGAGAGCUUCAAGAUCUGACCCUUGCCAAGCAGCGGUACAAAAAUGCGAAUGAAGCCAAGGGAACGUAUCCCUAAAUAUUACCAGCGACUGCAGACCCAGGUGAUGAUUGGCAGCCCAGCUUGAAGCUUCAUGUGCAGGCCUUCUAGGCACGGCCAGCAACCACGAUGAGGGGUCCCUCCCCUUGACUGACAUUCUCUUAACGUCUUUUCAGCUUCACAGUUUGCCUGUUCCAGCUUUUCCUCUUCUCAGAUUUCCUGAACUUAUGAUGGGGUUGGAUAUGCUGCAGUCCAAGGUGUGGAAUGAAGAGGCCACCACCAGUUAACCCUGCCGUGAUACUCAGAAAGCUAGAAGACUCCAAACACAGAGACUUCAGUCUCCACCAGUGUGCUUGUUAGUAGACCUACCCCUGGAAGUUUACCUUUCAGAUCUCAAAUGAAGGUAUAUUUUAUUUAUUUGACAGAGAGAGAUCACAAGUAGGCAGAGAGGCAGGCAGAGAGAGAGGAGGAAUCAGGCUCCCCGCUGAGCAGAGAGCCCGACGCGGGACAUGAUCCCAGGAUCCUGAGAUCAUGACCCGAGCCGAAGGCAGUGGCUUAACCCACUGAGCCACCCAGGUGCCCAGACCUUCUCUCAUUCUUACAGGCCACAUAAAAGAUGUUGGGGAGGGAAGGACUGUAGUAAUAGAGAAUUGGGGGUUGUUGUUGUUGUUAGAAAUGAUGAGGGGCAGAGGGAGAGAGAAUCUUAAGCAGGCUUCACACCUAGUGCAGAGACUGACACAGCGCUCGAGCUCACUACCCUGAGAUCAUGACCUGAGUCAAAACCAAGAACUGGACACUUAACUGACUGAGCCAGAUGGGUGCCCCUUGUUUGUUUUUUAUUGAGGUGCAGUUAACACACGGUGUUACAUUAGUUACAGGUGUACAACACAGUAAUUAGACAAUUCCAUACAUUGUCAUAUUCAACCCAAGUGUAGCUGCCAUUUACCAUAAAAUGCUGUUACAUUAUUAACUAUAUUCACUAUGCUGUCUCUUUCAUCCCUGUGACUUACACGUUCCAAAACUGAAAGCCUGUACCUCCCACUCUCCUUUAUGAUUUUCUUGUUUCCUCUCUAUACCCUUCUCCCCUCUGGCAACCACCAGUUUGUUCUCUGUUUAUGUGUCUGUUUCUCCUUUGCUUUUUUAUAUUCUGCGUCUAAGUGAAAUCACAUGGCAUUUGUCUUUCUCUGACUUAUGUCACUUAGCAUUAUACCCUCUAGUUCCAUCCAUGUUGUCACAAAUGGCAAGAUCUCUUUUUAUGGCUGCAUAAUAUUCCAGAGAUCAUGUAUACCAUAUCUUCUUUUUCCAUUCAUCUAACAGUUAUUAAACUACACCUGUCUCUUUCACAAUGACAGGAUUUUAAGAUUUGAGAGAGAAAAAGCACACAUGAGGGGAGGGGUAGAGGGAGAGAGAAUGAAGCCCGACACGGGUCUGGAUUCAUGACCGUGAGAUCAUGACCAGAGCCAAAAACAAGCGUCAGAUGCUCAAGUGACUGAGCCACAAAGGCACACCUUACAAUGACAGGAUCUUUUUUUUUUUUUAGGUUUUGUUUAUUUGAUAGAUCACAAUUAGGCAGAGAGGCAGGCAGUGAGGCAGGCAGAGAGGGGAAGCAGGCUCCCUGCAGGGAGCCUGAUGUCGGGCUCAAUCCCAGGAGCCUGGGAUCAUGACCUGAGUCAAAGGCAGAGGCUUAACCCACUGAGCCACCCAGACGCCCCACAAUGACAGGAUCUUAACACUUAUACCUAUCUACUGGUUAUUUCCUUAUGCACUAAGCUCUGGAUAAUGAAAGAAGUACAUGCUCUCCCUGUAGUUUGAGACUGUGAAUGUUCUAGAAGUAUGAAUAGUAAAAUUUUACCUGACCUCUGCUAACGUGGGUCUGUCACUGCUUGUUUCCCUGGAACAGUCUGAGAGAUGGCUUGGGGGAGAGGGCGAAGAGUGACUGAGGCCCUUAAGCUCUGCUGACUCUACAGGAAUUGCACUUGACUUCUUCACUCCGGUGUCCUCAUUAACCAUUCCCUGGUUGGUUAUGUGUUGUGUGGCACGUGGUCUACCCUUGCACUGUGCUAGACCAGUUUUUUCCUGAUUUCUGUCUUCUAAUUCACUUAGAGGGUUUAACCAUGAAUCCCUCUACAACUUUUCUUCUAGAUUUCUUGGGAUCUGUUAGUUAACGUCUCUGUAGACCUGGCCUCAGCCACUGGUCUUCAGCACUUUCCCCAUCCUAACAGCUGGGCCAGAUGCCUUUCAGAGUCCGCAAAACCUGUUUUUUAAAGGUACAGGAGAAAAAAACACUCACUUCCCCUGUGCUUGUAAACAGGAACUAGUGGAAGACCAGAGACCUACUGGCUUUUUUGUGGUAGUUCCUGUUUUGAGAUCCUUAAGUUCAUUUUCUUCAUCUCUUUGAACUUGCUUUUUCCUCAGUGGUUGACCCAUGAUUAGACCCUACCCUCUGGUCUUAAGGAACUGCCUUCAGCCAUUUACUUCAUGCUAUGCCUCCUGAUCACAACUCUCAUUACUUUGUUUUCUCAGCCUUAAGGUUGUACUUAUCUGGAACCCAGGCACCUAGAGCAUUUCACUCUUUUCUUCUUUAAAACAGAACAGUCUAUUAACCCCAAUCUGUCUUCCCACAUUGUCCUCUCAUGAGGUAGUAUGCCAGGGGUCAGUUCUCAUUACCAUGUUGUCAUGUAGGAUAGAAGGCUUGAUCUUACCCUUACUUCCCUAAUGUGGACAAUUUAAAGCGUUACCACUUAUAUCUGCCCCACAUUCCAGAACAGUCCCAGCCCCAAAGGCAUGACCCCGUGUGAGACUGUGCAACCAGCAACAAAAUGUCAGUGUUUGUAAAUGGAUCCAAGGAUAUUCCUAUUUAUCUUCUACUGUCAUUCCUAGGCAUUCCUGUAGAAAUUUUUAAGAGGGAGAGGAAGGGAUAUAAUCCUAUCAAGUAUUGCCAUGAUGUCCAGUGCAGGAAACCUACACCAUAGUCCAAGUACAGCCACGGGCACUUGGAACAAUGACGGUGAUUACAGAUUGUAGUCAUUAAUCUGGGUAGGUCCAGGGGACUCUGAAUAAAGGUUCACACUGAUCUAUCAUUAGAAAGUACCCAUCACAUUUCUUUGGGUGGUAAAACCUGUCUGAUCUUCAAAGAACCAAGAUUCACUAUAUAAUACUUAAUAGAAAACUAUUACUUAAUUUACUGUACAGAUGAUACAUUUUACAUUGGAAAUUUAUUCGGGACAGGGCAUGCUAUUUGCUUUAAUAUCUGAGCUCUAUCUCCAUGCCUUAGUUUCAUUUAGAUUGUGAUAAUCUAGCUAAAGAAGUUUCAUAAAAUUGCUUAUAAAUCUAAACAGAGAACUUUGGUGAAGAAAAUAUUUUCAGGCCCAUCAGUUCUACCACAUCAGUCCUUGGUGAUCAGUAGUGCCACAGCCAAACUGCUCUCACGUCCAAAAUAUCUUCUCAGAAGAGAGCAACUUUGCCACAAGAACUCUUACUCUUCGUGCCAUGGUAUCAUUGCUAAACGACAUCUCCCAAUUUGUAGGGAUCUCAAAUAAGGCGAUCUUUCAGAUCAGUUGAUGUCAGUUGAUGUCAAAAAAAAAAAAAAAGAACAGUAGAGCCCAAAGGAAAAAAAGAAAACCUUCAAUCAAACAAAAUAAAAUCUUAAAAACUUGAGUUAGCCUUCAUUAAAUAAAAAAACAAUUAGGUUAUUUAUAAUUUUAGAGUUUCACAUAUGUAAUGCUGUGUUAAUAAGCAAUGAACACUUUCAUAAAAAAAUUUAUUUCACACUUUUAUACAAAUAUCCACAGGUAUUUUCUAAUCAUAAUUUUACAGUGCUACUUAGGAUUAAAAUGUAUCAAAUGCAAACAGACCCAGUGACUUGACUUGAGAUGACAUUUUUAACAAUAAACACCAUGAUGUUCCUUGUUGGACCAGCCUUCCACCUCUUCCCUUAUAGGACAUUCUUUGCUUUCUAACAAAGAUCUACAGACACUUUCAAAAUACCAGCUCCAUGGCAACCUAUAAAGCCAGUGCAUUUGGUUACAAGGUACCUACCUAAGCAAGAAACCUAGAUUUCAAACACUGGUAUGACCUGUUUUAGAGAAACUUUUGUAAACAAAGUAUCAUUUGUAAAACCAUCUUUGUGAAUGAAAGUUCCAAAGUACAAUGAGAAUAAUGUCCUUAGUAUCUUCAGAGCAUACAAUUUCUGUAAAGAAAAAAAACUCUGAAGCAACAAUUUGUUCCAACAAAUUAGCACCUGUUUGCUAUUAUUCCCCAUCUAACUUAACAUUUUAAAGUACAGUAAUUUUUAAAAAUUUGGAUUUCCUAUCUUGUUCAUUGUCUCUUGAAUGUAUAGAAAUGUUUUCCUCUUCUGCCAGUUCAUUUUUACAAUUAAAACCAUUGAAAACUGUAGUUAGCGUAGUCCCAAAGUAAUGUGGGGGGCUACAGAUAGGGGAGGAGACAAAAACCAGAACACUGACUCACCGAUUAAAUGGUUCCAACAUUUAAAAACAUAAAAGCCGUGAUGUUCUGACUUCCGGGAUCAGAUACUCAGUAGUCUCGCACUGGAUCCGUCUGGACCCACCAUAGGCACCGACCCUCUCUUUCAAGUCCUGACAGUACAGUGUGGGCAGCAGGGCUUACACCGCACCCGAGUCCAGCAAACCAACCCAUUAUUUCCAAGAGUUCCUGAAAGUUACAGCACAAAGGGUGCAGAAGACCUCACACAGGGCUCUAAACUCAACAAUAUGCGUUGUCCAGUAAGAAUUGAGCAUCUUACGGUUAACUCCUCUUUCUGAAACAGUUUGGGUCUGGAAGAGGGGGGUGAGGGCUGUCAGGAAGGGAGAUGUAAUAACUUAAGGAUUUUUUUUUUUUUUUUGCACGAAAUUCAAACCCAUGACCUCCCAUGUUCUAAUUCUGAUUGUUCAAUCCAAGGGUAAAGUGGAGAAUCUUUGGCCUGUCAAUGACAAAACGGUCAUAAAAAAAAAAAAAAAGAAAAAGAAAAAAUAAAUAGCAUAUACAAGUAAGUCUAAGGUAGCAUUCAAGUCUGUUGCACCUGUGUGUGUGAGCAGGAAGAGUGAAAGCUGUAUGUUACCUGGUGGGAGAAGUGUUCACACGUCUAGGAAAUGGGGACAGAUGGCAGGAUGGCAACGCCACCUAUUGCACAUUGCACUGAAGGUAGCACUCUGAAGUGAAACACAGCUACCCGAGGGCACAGUCUGGUGCUGCCACUGCUCCCUUGCGGCUCUCCGGUCCUAGGGGAGGGAGGUGUGCAGAGGCAGUGCCAACCACCGCAGCCGGCCUUUCAGCACAGUGACCGUGACUGGUGCCGUCUUCAGCUAUGCUAGGGGGAGGACAGGGCGGGAGCACCGCGGGGGAGGCCCUACUGGGGCCCAGGCAAGUCAGCCACACCAAAAACAAAGGCAACCCGAAAAGUUAAAUUAAGGCAGUUAAAGAAAACUCCAUUCCAACAGUCUUAAAUUCGGCUGUGCCAGACCAGAGAGCCCCAGGCUCCAUGUCAGCAUCCACAGUGAAAACUGUCCAAGCUCGUACUGGGCGUAGUCUGUCUGAAAUUAAUAUUCAGGGAUCGAGCAGGCUCGCAAGUCCACUUAGAUGUCGGAGUUGGGCGGGGAAGAGCAGUUUGGGUACUGGGAAGCUUUUUUUUGGCCCCUCUUAGGAGUAGCUUUCAUUUUCAUUCCACCUUGUGAUCCACUGUUUUUUUUCAAGGUUAUCAAUGUAUUUUUCAUCUUUGAUCUCCCGCUCUUCCUUCCGGAUCCUCACAGCAUGGUAUCGGGGAACGCUAUCGUCGUACCUGGAGCGUUUAAAGAAUCCGCACUGAUCAAAGGGAGAGAGAAGCAGAAACAAAUUAAGGAUUGCAGGAAAAGCAAGUGCACAAAAUGGGAAUGUCUAAGCUUCCUGCUCAGCUACGCCUACCUCUGGACGAAGGGAAAAAAGACAUGGUUUCUUUUAAGAAGGAACGAGCAGGUUGAAAAGACAACAGCCAGUGGGGAUAAGCGGAAGAGAAGACAGCUGUAAAACUAGAAGGAAAGUCCGUUUUUUCCAUCUUGUCUUUACAUUUUAUAACAAUGUAGUAAGCUGCCUCUUUACUAACAAUUUCAGAGCUCUGGAACAGUGCUUCCAUUUUUUAUAAUCACAAUACUCUGUUUAAAAGAUCUCAAUUUUGGAUUAGAUGUUAAGGAACAAUCUUUUUAAAGGCCACGAACUAAAGAAUAUUUUGUGUCCUUGUCUCACUAACAAAAUGAAAUCAAAUCACCCAUAUUUUUACAGAUUCCUAUUCGACUAUGCCAGUGUUCAAAUGAGUCAUUUUAAGAACUUUCUCUCCUCCGAGGCUAAGUACACAUCUCUCAUGAGCUGUAAGAUAAUUUACACUGUGUGGAUUUCCUGUUGUGCUUCCAAAUUUAAGCCGUUUCAUUAAAUCAUGUAGUAACCGUGUCCUAUAAUAAAAUCAAUCAGGUACUGCAAAGAACUUGAGGAAAGUAUGCCAUUAAAUUUCAGAGCACCCCUAAUUGUCUUUUUGCAGAAGACAUUUACACUUAAAUUAUUUAUGAAUAUAUAUUUUAUUCAUUUUUUUAAAAAUAUUCAAUCUGAUCCAAAGUAGAUUUUUAUGGAGAACAUAUCAGGAAAAUUUUUAAUCAAAUUGAAAUUUUUAAAUGAAUAAAAUAUGUUUCAUGGAAAAGAUGUGCUUCGAUUUAAAUGCAGCUAGGAGGAGGAUGAGGAAGAUAUUUGGAAUGGUUAAUGUGUAUCAUGUAAUAGGAACAGAACAUUUAUUUCGAAUGAGGUUAUAAAAAUGUCAUGGGGCAAAGUAAAAUUAGAUUCAGUCAUCACUAAAUCAUUGGGAAAAAUGGACCAAGAAGUUUUGUCGUAAGGCCAUUUCCACAUUGGACUCCUUUAUUAUUUUGUGCAAAAAGCCAAAAUACCUGUUACAAAAUGUGGCUCUUGCUUCAUUUUAAAAGAGGAGGAAGUCAAGGGUGGUAUGUAGAACUGAAAUGGAAAGGCUGGGAUUCAUUGUGACAGUGUCAUGGAAAGGGAUUAUAGGAAGAAUUCCAUCCCCUCGUGCCCACAUAAAUGGAAAAAGGAAUUACCACCAAUUCCUGUUUCCAUGGAUUUACAAACAAGGGAAGCAAAACACGAACUUAAAAUCAAUCAAGACCCAAAGUUGAAUAAGAUCUCUAGGAACAUGAAACAAGGUCAAACUCCAUUACAACAUAUUGAAACCGUAACUGUCCAGAGCAUUUUUAUAUUAGAAUUUUGUAUAAUGAAGGUCACUUGGUAAAGAGCGAUCUUCUGAAAUUGGCCAUCGUGUCCACCAGGUCAACACAUUCAUAGUUUGUUGUAGUGGUCUUUGACCCGUAGUAGAUAUGCAGGAAAAGGAAGUCGCAUGCUUAGCGAGCAUAAAACAAUUUCUGAGCAACAAAAGCAUUCCAAGCCUUCCCCCAUCACUUUAUAGCAAGAUCAGAAAGGACAGUAAGGAAGCCUUCUCAAGAGAAACACAAUGUUUCCAACAUGCAACAGGUUAAUUAGGCAGUCAACACAAGCUUCUAUCUGUGGAAAAUCCCAAAGUGGACAAGAAAUCUGCAGUGAUUUCUUAUUCACCUUUGAAAUUCCAAGUGGGAUGCUAUAUACUGGGUUUACAACACAUGGCAAACUGGGCUCCUAGGGAGGUCUAAUGCCUCCUUUUGUGUGUACAUAGAGUCCAAUCAUCUUCAUUGCUGUGGGUGACAUUUAACAACACAAAAUAACUCACCUGCAAUAAAAGAUUCUUUGUGCAUUUCUAAAACACAAACAAAACUGAGCUUUCAAGUGAAAUAAAACAAAUCCAAGCAAGGCAAGCCAGUGUGGACAUUUGGAAACAUCUGUUAAUGGGACACACACAGCAAGCUGUUGCUCUUAAAGUUAGCCACCACAACCAUAGCAGGUCCCACAGCUAGCAAUGAAAAAACAUUGAUCAAUUACCACAGAAGUAGAUCAAUACUAUGCAUCAGAAGUAAGCCUCUCUUUAUCAGACGGCUGAGCAUGGAUCUCAGCCUUGUGAUAGGUGGCAUCAUAAUGAUCUUUCUUAUUUCUCUUGAAGAAACCACACUAUAAGGAAGCAAGGUAUUUAGUCAGUUUUACAGUUUUGUGUAUAAGAGAGAAACAAAAGAAAAAUCUCAGAUUGUAAUCUGUUUUCUAGUUAUGGCUUGUUACAAAGAGACCACUUAGGGAUCAACCAAUAGCUUGUUACAAAGAGCCCACUUAUGGAUCAACCAGAAGUGAACAGCCACCAAACCGACCUGAUUACCAUGGGUCUCUGGUCUGAUACUUAAACCGGAUGACAUUAAUUCGCUAAUUGGUUUUUCCAUCUGUAACCAACAUCCGGAGGACAAAAAAAAUCAUCCUAAAAGGAAAAUCAUAUAUCCUUCUGAUUAUAGCUUUGGGUGGUUUCUUCAUGCAGGAGAAUAUGAACUCUAAAAUAGGCAAAAGAUUGAUUUCUGCAGUUUUUCUGUGACAAAGAUGAUCUAGAUUUAGCAUAAAUCCAAAUAAAAUAGAUACAUUUUUCUGCCUUUCACAGGAAGUUUCAUGGAACAACUGCUGUGUACUUGAGGACUUUGUAUUUGUGGGUAAAUCGUAAUAUAAAUUCGAAUACACCAUCAUGAGAGAAUGACAGCUGUUAUGUUCCCAAAUUCUAACACACCAGGUAAUCGCUAAAUGGUAGGAACCUCUGCUCCUCAGGUUAGGUCACUCUCAAUCAUCACAGAGAUGUAAUUCCCCUUUUUACUAUAAUUUCCUUCAUUCAACGAGGGAGGACUUUUUCUAUUUUCUUGUUUGUAAGGCUGUAGAACUACCCUUUGGAAUCAGCUUGGUCAAGUAAGUCUGCCCUCCUGGAAAACUCUGCUUCCUAGUCUGGCCACUCCUUAAAGUGAAAAUCUAGAUGUUUUGUACGGCAUGGUAACUACGAACUACAUGUGGGUAUUUCAAAGUUAAAUCAAAAACACCUGCAUGGCAACAGCCACAUGCCAAGUGUUCAGUAGCCACAUGUGUCCCGCUGACUAGUACAGCUUCAUAAUGGCUCCGUUAUCAUAGUUUUACCCUUUAUCUUGAUGUCUACUUGUGACUCCCUCCAUCUAAUACACAGUGACCACACCCAGCCAACUUGCAGUAACACAUGCGGUCGAUAGGGAACCAAGUGUCCUUGUCCUGCUUCCAGCCUGGCAGCAUUCUUACCAUCCACAGGCAUGAGCAUCCUUGUUGGCAAAAUGAAGGUGACUAGACCAGCCUGAAGGAAGGACUUUCCUCUUUACCUCCAAACAAAACCCUCUGCAAUAUCCUAGUAUUUAAAGCAAGUAACAUCAGGGGUGCCUGGGUGGCUCAGUCAUUAAGUGUCUGCCUUCAACCCAGGUCAUAAUCCCGGGGUCAGGGGAUCGAGAGCCUGCUUUUCCCUCUCCCAUGACCCCUGCUUGUAUUCCCUCUCUCACUGUCUCUCUCUCUCUCUGUGUCAAAUAAAGAAAUAAAGCACAUAACAUCAGAAUGACUCUGGCUGAAGCGGGGAUAUUGGCCCUAGCUGCACCACCCUAGCUUAAUCGUGGCACCUACGUGGAUGUGUAAAACCCGGUUUAAUGGCCACUGAACUGGAGUCCUUUAUGGCCCUUAAGCUCCAUGAUUUUAAUACAUGAAAAGGCAUCAUUUAUCUUGAGAAAGAAGAGUAUCAGUAAAGUAAUAAAAGUGGUCUUCGUGUAGGGUUCAUAGGAGGUUGAUUAGGGUUCACUUGUGAGUUCUGGAUACCUUAGAGCUACAAACAACCCAUGAGAUUAUCUAGUCCAGUCCACUCACUAAAAAUCGAAAGCAAACCAGUGCCCCAGGAAGAUGAAAUGAUUUGCCUAAUAUUAUAGAGCUUGGGUGUUUUUUAAUUCUCACCCCACAGCUAUGUCUCAUCCUCAUUAAAGACUGCCAGUAGGACCUGCUCUGAAGAAGACUAUCCUUGUGACCUCCUCCAGAAAGCACACAAAAGCCAUCCUCAAAUACUAAAUUUCAAAUUUAGUUUUUGAUACAGAAUAAUUUUCAGAGCAUCUCCUAUUGCUGGCUGUGCUGACCAGAGUAACCGGCUGCCCGGAGGGGAUGUCAGCAGUAAAACUGGCCAGUACCCAAUGCAGGGAGGAGUCUCGCAAUGCAAGGAAGGAGACAGUCACCAACCUCCAAAUCACACAUUUGAGGAACACCAGAAAACUCACUCAGACUGGUAAAAGGCAGUUGUUUGGAAAAAUAACAUACCAAAAAAAUCCCCAAUAUUUGAAAGUGACAGUAUCUGAAUCUGUCAGUUAUACUCUUGGAUCCAAGGGAAAGGAUAAAGAUGGUCUAAUCCUAGAGAUUGUUGGUAGAGGUUUAUAAUCAUUUAAUUCAAAAUCCUCUGGACCAGAGAGGUGUGGAAAUCUAGAAUUUUGGCAUUUUAGAAAAGUAAUAUGCUGCAUGCAUAAAACGACUCUAACCAAAACAUUAUUAGUUUCACAGCAGAACCAUUAAAUAAAGGAUAAAGAAUACAAAUAGCUUCUCUUCACAUGUUGUCCAGUUCUGCGGCCAAGUAAGUCAUUAUGAACUUUCAGCUUUCAGAGUUUUCUGCAAUUUGUAGUUGUCGAUAAGGGACUAUGAACCUUCAUUAGUCACUUAGAAUAAUCCAAACUAUGGGUCAUAAUCUUUGCCAACAAAAGUAUGCAACCAUCUCAUACAUACAUUUUUAUAAUAUAGACUGUUUAUUGGCAGAAAUCCAGGAGAAGAUACUAAUUUUACUUGCAGGACCAAAUUCUAAUGAAGAAUAUCCUAUUAAACCCGGAUCUUGUUUGAGAGAUGCAGUGAGGACCCCCUUGCAAUGGAGUUACGAAUUUCUUGCUUUUCUGUUCCUAAUCUAGUUGCAGCUUUCACAAGCCCCCAUGGCUACCGUGAACAUUUCUUUACAAAAGUUGAAAUUAACAAGGAUACAAGUUCAGAUUAAUGUGACAGCCAACAAUUUGGCUUUGAUUCAGAAUUUUAGAUAAAGAAAAUGCUGAAGUGGUAACGUUUUUUAAAUUGGUAUUUGCCAAACUUGCUAAGUUAUGUGAUAAACACCAAAAUUUAUUUAAGAAACUCCUUAUAAUAUACAAAUACUUUUAAAUUUCAGGUAUGAGGAAAUAUACUGGUGUUCAUCAUAAAAUUCUCAAGUUUGCUUCAUGUUGGCAAAGUUUCAUAAUGAAAUGUUGAGAAAAGGGAAGCAAUACAAAGGAAUACACAGAUUCUAUCAGUGUAAAUUCACUCUUUUAAAAAGCAAGAGAUAAAAAUUAGGUUGUUAGAACUCAAAUGCCAAAUAGGACUUACCUUCCAUAGUAUAAAUACUAAGAGAGCCAGCAUCAGGAUCCCAGCGAGGAUAGCCACUAGGAUAAUCCACCACGGUACUCCUGAGUACUGAGCGACGGUCUUGGAGGGAAACACAGUCACACGAAUCUAUGGGGCAUAAAAGCAAGCGCCACUGUAAGGCAAGUGAGAAUACCAGGAGUUUAUAGUUCCAAGUCUGCUUCCAGACACAUUUUGAACAAUGCAGCCUGUGGAGGAAUGAGAUGCCUUUCUGAUGUGAGAUCUUUUCCCAGAACCUGGAAAAUGCUGGACUGUGUUUUGACAAAGUUAUUAUUAUUAUUUUUUUUUUUUUGGUAACUUAUCUUUUUUAAACUUUUGUAUUGAAUCAAAGUAAUUGUAUAAUAAAGCACUUUUUUUCAUCUCCAACAUUCAACAAUCAUCAAUAUACAGCCCAUCUUGCUUCAUCUGUAUAACCUGGCAUCUUGUUGAGAACGAUCACCUUCGCUUUUCGUUUUCAGUAGUGGAAAUAAAGGGGCCAUUUUAUGUAGAAUUAACCUAUAUUCCUCACUUGGACUUUAAAGUUGUUGUGAAAAAUAAAAACAGGGACGGAGCUAUAGUGCUGAUACCAUGGUAACUUCCCCUUAGGAUGUCUAAUGAAGGACCGUCAGGCACAAGAAGACUUCCUUAAACGGCCUGGUGCAUGCUCUCCAACAGUGUAUUUGGAUAGAGCAGACCCUUUCAGAGGUGACUUCGAGCUGUAAACAGUAGCUGAUGAGAAGCCUAAGCUCUAGACAUUUGAUAGUUGGCAAAUAUCAAUUAAACAGAAGUGGUGUUUAUUCAGAAAUCUAAAAAGUUGCUUCUGGCAAUUUGCAACAACUCGGUUCUGUGCCUUUAGUGGAUUUCCAUAAUUCCAGGAGACUAUUUUUCAAAGCUCCUGAAAGACCUGGUGUUUGCUACAAAUGGGAUUUCAUAAGCCAAUAGAUUAGCGAGCUUCCAGUUUGAAGUUUCUGGUAUUUCUGACUUAAGAGAAUGUAAAGUGAAGGAUAAACAAAAAGUGCGAGCCAUUAAGUUCUGAGAAGUGGUUUCAGUCCAGUACUGUUAGUCCCGGAUGCUGCCUAAAAAGGCUUCCAUAUCUGCCAACAUUCUGCUUUGAUUAACAAAAAGUCUUCACUAAAAUACUUCCUUUUCUACUUAUACUAGAAAACAGCCUCUCAACUAUCUGACUUUAGAAUAUACUCUGAAGCAAGAGAACUGCUUUUCUUGGAACAUUUAAGAACGAAGAAGUCCUUUUCAGCCUGCUCUCCUGACUCCAACACCUUUAUCAGCUACUGUGUUUCCUGUUAUGCUCUCAGUGAGGUUUGGCCCAAACUGGCAGCCAGCCCUACCCCCAGGGAAGGGGUGCCCCGUGGCUCACUUCCCCUCACCACCCUUCGCCCGACAGGCACCCCAGCUUUAAGCUAAAACAACCCUUUCUUGAGAUGACGAGGUCUAGCACAGGGGCAUCCACGAAAUGGGAAGAACAGUGGAAACAGUGAUAAAAGAGGGCACUUGGGAUCAGUAAGCCUCCCUACUGUGAACCCAAACAAAACCACUAAUGAGCCAGCUCCCUAUCACUUAUUCUGCCUAUCUAGUAGAAGGAAGCAUAGAGUACGUCCUGGGGGCAAGGGGACAACCUGGAAGGGCCAUCCUCAUUUUUAAGCCUAAGCUCUGUUAAACCUGGAAGUGGAGAGUAGAGAAUGGUCCAUGGCAGGGGAAUCAGCUUUUAUAAUCAGACCGCAUACCAGAGCCUUUCAAAUGGCUGGUAAUAGGGAAAAUCAUUCCUAUAAAUGGCAGCAAUCCAACAGUAUGGGCGGGGCGGGGGGGGAGGACUGUGUAUGGAAAUCCAGCUGGGAGAUCUAGCCCCAAGUCUGGCUACCAUUCAAACCAGAUUUGGGAGCCUUUUAGAACAACUCACUGGGCAUCAAAGACAGAGGACUGAAGCCAGGGGCAGAGCCACACACUUAAAGGGCAGAUGGGCUCCGCAAACCCAGGCUGGGUGUAAGGCCACACUGUAGUCCACGAAAGGGAGGAAGGCCAGUCAGCCGAGAUUUUGUUUUCUGAAACUGUCAACUAAAGUUUUGUUCCUGUAGGAUGGUCAUUCUCCAGCAGGGACUGGGAAUAAAGGGGGAUGGAGCCUCAGCAUAGGGUCAGGGGAGCUCUGGGAAGCCUGGUCAGAUCUUGCCACAGCAGCUGUUGUUAAUGGACAGUGACAGGUUGAGGUGAGUAGCAAUUACUCCAACUCCAAAAACAAUGGGGGGGGGUGCCUAGAUUUAAAAUCUAGGCAUUUCCAUAGGGAUGACCUAUGCAUGGAACCUCAUCCAUCAUGUGCCCAUGAAGGGGAAAUGGGGCCAAAGGUCUGCUGAUGAGUCAGUGCGAUCGUGAGUGAGCAGGGCUUACCCCUCAUUCACUUGCUCGCUGCCAGAAUCGUUGCCCUGAAUCACUCUAACGUCAUACUCUCUAUUCUUACUGCACAUCAGUGUAAGAAAUCACUCCGUGAAGGUAUUUUCAUGUCUUUCACAAAGCUAUGUUAAAGACCUCAUUCCCUUAGUGAGUGUUCCUCAUAUCAGAAACUCAUCUUAUAAAAGGAUCCAUAUCUCAAAUUCUCCACAUUUAGAGCCAAAAGAAGAAAAUCACAUUUCCCUAAAGAAUGCUGUGUUUUUCACCUACCAUAUUUUCUCAUCUCUGGCAUCCAGGAAACAGAUACUCUUUCCAACUUCCUUAGGAAUGAAGUGGGGGAUAUAGAAAUACAACUAAUAAACAAUUCGUUCCUCAGCUCAAUUCAACAAUUAUCUCCUGGUUCACCAUGAAUCAUGAAAUUCUUAACAGUUCACAAGGCGUAUCUUAUUACUUUUGCUUCUCUAUCAUUCAUGCAGGGAAGGCACACAGUGUGUCCUUAGUAAGUGCUUAUAAACCAGAUGGAUUUCACUGGUGCUAAAAUGUAACCAUUUUAUCUGGUUUAGUUAGGAGACCAGUUCUAUUGGACUUUGUUCUAACAAUGUACUAAAAUGUUCAUAUUAAGAAGUGAACACAAAACUCUUAAAAUUGUUGGGUUAUAAAGGAAACAAAAAGGUUUUUUUUUUUUUUUUCUUCUCUUUUAAAGCCAGGAGUAGAGUAAGAGCAAGGGGAAGUUUUAAUAUGAAGACCAAAAGAUAAGGCUGAAUAACCCCACCUCCUCGCUUCUCUCUCCAAAGAAAGAUGAUCUUUGGGCUGGAAAGGACAGAGGAACCAAGAUAAAGACAGAACUGAAACCCCAAAUAAGUGAGGGAAUAAGAAAGGAAAGCACUGUAACACUUGAAUCAAGCUUAAAUCUUUAGGCCCAGAAAAAGUACACUUUAAAAUACUGAAGAAACCUAUAGGGAGAACAUGGGAGCUGUUGUCACUCAGAAAUCAGUCAAGAGAAGAGGUGCCAGAAGACUAGAGGCAAGAAAAUGUCUCUCUCUUCAAAAUAAAUGCACUCUAGAUACAAGACAUUGAUCCACUCACGUACCUACCAAUUAUUAAACCAAGGAGGAUCACAGCAGGGAUCCCAACUCCCAUGAGCAGGCAUGAGUUCUCCAAGCCCCAACAUGAAAGGCCCAAGAGAGCCUCACUUUCCUGUGUGACCCAGCCGCUAGACUGGUUACCAGCACCCCCGUUCCAUCAUCUUCCAGCCAACAAGAGCACCCGAGGAGGACUUAGGAGCCCACCGUCUGGUCUCCCCUCCACAUGUCUGCCAGUACUGUGACCUUGAAGGAGAGAUAACCUUCCUUGGAUUGUUUUCUCAUCUGAAUUUGAGAUCUGGGGACUUACAGAGUUAAGAACAGGAGCCCUGAAACCAGAUGGGUUUACAGGUUUCCAUACAGGACCGCACUGGCAUCCCCCGCUGUGCCUGCUUCCUUUUUUGGAAAAUGAGUCCAUCUACCUCGUCAUUCUGAGGUUUACAGGACUACACACAGAUAAAAAGUCCAGUAAACUGCAGACCUUUUAUUAAGGUGCUAUUAAUGUCUGUCCCUUCCUGUCCCUUCCCUCUCGAGAGUGUGGUGUUCUUCCAACUCUUAAAUACCCAGUGAUUCUCCAGGUUGUCGGUUUCAAGUUACAGAAUGCUAUGACCACUGCCUAGGUCAGAGGGGAAGAGAAGAGCUUCUCAGGGAGGCUCUGGCUUGGGUGACGAUCCCUUAUGAUGCCUUAUUGGUAAGAGGCGGGGAGGUGGGCUGGAGUAGCAGGCAGAGAGCAUCUAAGGCUAGGGUAACCAGAUGUAUGGUUAAGUCUGGAACGGUCCUGAUUUUUUAACCCUUGUCCCAGCAUCCCGCCCAGGUUAGCAUUUGCUCCAGACAAAUGUCUUCGGGUGUGAAUAAUAUACUUGAACAGCCAGGGAUCGCUGUCUUCAGAAGCCAGUGCUCAGGAGGCUCACUGCGCUUUCGGUCGGCUCAAUGUCCGAAGCCAGAACCCGUCCAUAGGCACAUCAGGAGAUCAGCUGGAGAAUAUUGAUGAACAGAAGAUCCUUCUAGAAGCUGCCAACAGUGAACACAGAGCACACCAUCACUUAAACAGAGGAGCUCCCUCACUGCGAUCUACUGAAAGUCAGCCCUCAACACGAGGAUUAAAACCAGAAGAGAAGAAACAGACACACGGUAAUUAAGCAGAUGGUCACACUGGAGCGUAUGAUAAACCAGGACUGUCAGCGUGCAGCAGCACAUGCAGUUACGAGUAUAGGCUUUGAAAACAAAGCAGAGCUCGGAUGCAGAAUCAGCCUCAUAACUGCUGAGGGAGUCUUAAAACAUUAAUCUCUCUGAAUCUCUCUUCUCUCAUCUGUGAAAUGGUAGGGAUAAGAAAAAAUACCUCAAAGAACUAUCAAGGGGAUGAAAUGAGAAAAAGCAAAUAAAAUGUUUAUUUUAGCAUAGUGCCUGAGGCACAAUCAACACUUAUAAAUAUUUACUAUUUUAAAAAAUAAGAACGAGGGACACCUGGGUGGCUCAGUCAGUAAAGCAUCUGCCUUUGGCUCAGGUCAUGAUCCUGGGGCCCUGGGAUCGAGCCCCAUGUUGGCUCCCUGCUCAGCGGGCAAGUGUGCUUCUCCUGCUCCCUCUGUGUACUUGCUCUCUCUCUCCCUCUCAUAAAUAAAUCUUUUUAAAAAAAUAAAUAAGAAUGAAAGCUUUGAAGGUCUCUUGCUAACGUGCCAAUCUCUUCUAUAAUGAGUUUGGUUCUAUGGGGGGUGAACACUGACUGGCCCACCCCAGACGCAUAUCCCAGUUCUGUUUAUAGGUUAUACUGGGUCCAAAACUUCAGAAAACAUCAUUUCCUUCAACAAGCCCUGGGUCAGACUGAUGUGCCAUCAUGGCAGCUGAUCAGCAGAAAUCCUCAGCCUGACUUGGUUAUUCAACUAUGACAGAAGAUGUGACACCAGAGAAGUCAGCACACCACUAUGUCACUUUUCCUCGGGAAAUUAAGGAUGUUCCCCCACAGAAGUUCGCUUUCCUUAUAUGUGCUACAGAGAUGCAGGGUAAAUCGAUGUACCUUGAGGUUCAGGAAGUUUAUUUCACUUCGUGGCUCACAAGCGAUCUUUUCCAAUCCUUUGGAUUCUACUUUCACCAAAUAAAGCAACCAUUUGCCGUUGCUAAUUUCUUUUGGCCACUGGAUGUUCAAGGUUGCCGUGCCAAGGUUUUUAAGAGGUUUCCCCAAGUUAAUUACCUGUAAGAAAAUAACACGUAUUAUAUCCCCGUGUAAGUCUCUCAAUCUAAAAUUAAAUAGCCACUCCUGCAGCCAGGGAGAAAAAGCAUGACCCUACGAUGAAAAGUACAGGCUCCAGAGCUGGACUGCAGAGAGCCCGGCGCCCACAGCAGAGAUGCAGGCCUAGGAAAGGUCAGAGAUGGAGGACUGCUCCUUCAACCCGGCAACUCCUGUGAGCAAGAGAAUCUGCUCCCGACCCGGAAGGUGGCGGGGUCUGCGAGUCGCUCUAUAACCUCCUGGGCCCUGUAGAGGAGUGUGGCCUGUGGCAGCCCGCCAGCAAUCUGCUUCUAGGAAGCCCCUCCUUAUGCCAAAAUGAAGUCACCUCAGUCCGCUACCACAAGGGAGGGCAGGGGACGGUGGUUGGGUAGCAACUGAGAGUGGGAAUAAAACCAUUACAAAGGCCAUGAAUCAGGAUUCAAGCCGGGAACAGAGCAGCUUCCUAGGCAGAAGCCAAAUGAGGAGUGAGCUCUGUGUGUGGGGCAGGACCGCUGUGGCACCCAGGGCCACCGGUGGCAGCCACACCCAUGCAGGCGUCCUCACCUCUGCCACCACCACCUAUCCCAGCUGUGUCUACAAUGCUGAGAGACACCCCAAGCAGAACUCAGCCCCCCAUCCUGCUGGAGUCAGGGGUGGGUGCAUUCUUGCCAUCUCAGACACAGCCACUGGGCUGUCUUGGCUGAUUUGAGCCACGCAGACCCAAACCCACAGAUGAGUCACAAGCCCCCUCCGCACCAUGCCCUCAUGUUCACCCAACUGGACUGAGAGUCACUGUGAUUCUUGCUUAGAAAUGCUUCCUCACCGGCACCGGGCUUGUAAAAUGUGAAGGAACAUUAACCAUACGCCGUAAGAGAGAGGACCUCACAACGGAAGAAAGAAAUCCCAACACAGUCUAAAGCCAGAUAUCAACUAUUUUGAGAUUUGUGUGUUACAGACAGACUCUGGGGAGAGAGAGGGGCGGGGUAUUCCUUUGUCCCUACAUCGCUUAUACACAAAAACUAAACUGGAUUUUGAACAAGUCCCAUGUCGAAUGAUAGUUGUGUUCUCCAUUCUGAAGGACAAAACUUCUACUGUAAGCCGGUAUGUGAUAUAAACAUUGGUGAACUCACUUUUAA